Heterocephalus glaber (naked mole-rat) is the source of this 130-nucleotide small nucleolar RNA. The record is from Ensembl. Lineage: Eukaryota; Metazoa; Chordata; Mammalia; Rodentia; Bathyergidae.
GGCACUUGUGUGUUUUUGUCCUAACUUGUGGACUAAAACUUAAAUGGACAAAUGCAAAAAAUAAAUCCUCUUUUGCAACCCAGAACUCAUUGUUUAGUAUGAGGUUUUUGUUUUGUUUUGUUUGGGUAUC